This 254-nucleotide ribosomal RNA is filed under the name uncultured bacterium. Its description in RNAcentral is "partial 16S ribosomal RNA". It matches the Rfam family "Bacterial small subunit ribosomal RNA", at positions 524 to 776 of the family's 1533-position model. The record is from RNAcentral.
UACGUAGGGUGCAAGCGUUUGUCCGGAAUUAUUGGGCGUAAAGAGCUCGUAGGCGGUUUGUCGCGUCUGCUGUGAAAACUGGGGGCUCAACCCCCAGCCUGCAGUGGGUACGGGCAGACUAGAGUGCGGUAGGGGAGAUUGGAAUUCCUGGUGUAGCGGUGGAAUGCGCAGAUAUCAGGAGGAACACCGAUGGCGAAGGCAGUUCUCUGGGCCGUAACUGACGCUGAGGAGCGAAAGCGUGGGGAGCGAACAGG